UACAGAGGUCCCAAGCGUUGUUCGGAUUCACUGGGCGUAAAGGGUGCGUAGGCGGUCGGGUAAGUCUGACGUGAAAUCUCCAAGCUCAACUUGGAAAUGGCGUCGGAUACUAUUCGGCUUGAGGAAUGGAGGGGAGACUGGAAUUCUCGGUGUAGCAGUGAAAUGCGUAGAUAUCGAGAGGAACACCAGUGGCGAAGGCGGCUUGCUGGGCCAGUUCUGACGCUGAGGAGCGAAAGCGUGGGGAGCGAACAGG
This 253-nucleotide ribosomal RNA is filed under the name uncultured bacterium. Its description in RNAcentral is "partial 16S ribosomal RNA". It matches the Rfam family "Bacterial small subunit ribosomal RNA", at positions 524 to 776 of the family's 1533-position model. The record is from RNAcentral.